UGCCGAGAACGCGCGGGAGGGUCCUUCUGCUCUGGGGCUCCAGGCUGCUAAGAAAGCACACACAGGGGAGCCCUGCUUUCUACCACCGCCACUCCGAGAGUGCAGGCUGCUCCGAGGAUCUGUGUCUCUGGGUCCCGGGACAGGAGCGCCCUGGUCGUGGUCAGGGGAAGGGGGCAGGCAGACCGGUCACGGACAAAAGUAGGGUGCUCCAGGUUAAGAGUUGCCCAAUUUUCCAGCACAAAUACUUGUUGACAAAUAAUUGACUUUGUAAACUAUCAUCAGAUAGAUGUUAACCAUGCAGUACAAAGUGAUAAACGUCAAGAGUGUUCAAAAGACAGUUCGCACUGUACAGGCUGUGAGACCAAGAGCCUUACCAACCACUCCGAGGAGCUUGAUAGCCACGAGAAUCACCUGGGAAGGAGCACACUGGACAAGUUGGAAAUGAAACAGACCUUUAUUAGUCUGACCAGACAGCACUCCUGAAGCCGAGUAACUCAGAGAGGUGCUACUUCAGGGGCUGAGGGAUUCUUAUAAGGGGAUACAGGGGGCUUUAACAGUCAAAGCUUGCAGUCAGGUGGCAAAGGUUAAUGGUCUGCUGAUUUGCACUAGUGGCCAGCUGUCACGUAUUCAGCAGCCACACGUUGAUGGUUAACAGAUGCCUACAAGAUGUUCUAAGAUCUUAAAAGCAUUUCAGCUUUAAGCAGUUUUCUCUGUUGAAGAUAAGGGCAGGGUGAAACAAUAGUCUCUGGGCCAACAUGGAGUCACUUUAGCUCAGUCAGGUCUUACAAGGCAAAGAAAAAUAAUUAACCCUAUCAUAGAAUAAUUCUGAAAUUUGUUGGCACUAGUA
Fukomys damarensis (Damara mole-rat) is the source of this 847-nucleotide long non-coding RNA. RefSeq lists it as uncharacterized. The transcript is spliced from 3 exons. Lineage: Eukaryota; Metazoa; Chordata; Mammalia; Rodentia; Bathyergidae. The record is from RefSeq and is a predicted model, not a curated record.